UCUUUGGCAGUUAGAAUAUAUUAAAAUUAGAACAAUACAGAGAAGAUUAACAUGGACCAUGCAUAAGGAGGACACGCAAAUUUGUGAAGCGUUCCAUAUUUGG
Hemiscyllium ocellatum (epaulette shark) is the source of this 103-nucleotide small nuclear RNA. The record is from RefSeq and is a predicted model, not a curated record. Lineage: Eukaryota; Metazoa; Chordata; Chondrichthyes; Orectolobiformes; Hemiscylliidae.